RNAcentral lists this ribosomal RNA (253 nucleotides) under uncultured bacterium. RNAcentral describes it as "partial 16S ribosomal RNA". It matches the Rfam family "Bacterial small subunit ribosomal RNA", at positions 524 to 776 of the family's 1533-position model. The record is from RNAcentral.
UACGUAGGGGGCUAGCGUUGUCCGGAAUCAUUGGGCGUAAAGCGCGUGUAGGCGGUUCGGUAAGUCCGCUGUGAAAGUCGGGGGCUCAACCCUCGAAUGCCGGUGGAUACUGUCGGACUAGAGUACGGAAGAGGAGUGUGGAAUUCCUGGUGUAGCGGUGAAAUGCGCAGAUAUCAGGAGGAACACCAAUGGCGAAGGCGGAUCUCUGGGCCUGUUCUGACGCUGAGGCGCGAAAGCUAGGGGAGCGAACAGG